AUUGAACGCUGGCGGCAGGCCUAACACAUGCAAGUCGAACGGUAACAGGAAGCAGCUUGCUGCUUCGCUGACGAGUGGCGGACGGUUGAGUAAUGUCUGGGAAACUGCCUGAUGGAGGGGGAUAACUACUGGAAACGGUAGCUAAUACCGCAUAACGUCGCAAGACCAAAGAGGGGGACCUUAGGGCCUCUUGCCAUCGGAUGUGCCCAGAUGGGAUUAGCUAGUAGGUGGGGUAACGGCUCACCUAGGCGACGAUCCCUAGCUGGUCUGAGAGGAUGACCAGCCACACUGGAACUGAGACACGGGCCAGACUCCUACGGGAGGCAGCAGUGGGGAAUAUUGCACAAUGGGCGCAAGCCUGAUGCAGCCAUGCCGCGUGUAUGAAGAAGGCCUUCGGGUUGUAAAGUACUUUCAGCGGGGAGGAAGGGAGUAAAGUUAAUACCUUUGCUCAUUGACGUUACCCGCAGAAGAAGCACCGGCUAACUCCGUG
This 490-nucleotide ribosomal RNA is filed under the name uncultured bacterium. RNAcentral's name for it is "partial 16S ribosomal RNA". It matches the Rfam family "Bacterial small subunit ribosomal RNA", at positions 30 to 507 of the family's 1533-position model. The record is from RNAcentral.